CACGUGUCUAAGAUCACAGGACACUGUGGUCAUUUCCUGCUGUGAUCACAACAGGUGCAAUAAGCCAUGUGCUUUUCUAAAACGUCAUUAAACCACAAUUGCAGGCUCUCUUGUUCUGUUGGGAGUGACCGCCGCCAAAGGACGCGGUGGCCGAUGUGGUCGUAAAGGAUGACGUGUGAACGAAAUCUCUAAUACUCUGACGUAUUCCAACCGUUGUCAUGGUCUGAUGAAAUAGCUACUGUUGUCAUGGGGACGUGACGUAAUGUAUUUGAGACCUUUCAAUGUGAUGUAUUGGUUGGAUGUGUCAGAGAAUCAAA
Long non-coding RNA from Gigantopelta aegis, 317 nucleotides. RefSeq lists it as uncharacterized. The record is from RefSeq and is a predicted model, not a curated record. NCBI's taxonomy places the organism in Eukaryota, Metazoa, Mollusca, Gastropoda, Neomphalida, Peltospiridae. The transcript is spliced from 3 exons.